AGGUUCUCGACGCUCUCCAAGCUGACAGCGUCCAGGAUCGCGGGGGAGGGGGGUCGGGGAGGCGGGGGGGUGGGGUGGGGGGAACCUCCCCGUGGCCAUCUCAGCAGGUGCACCCCCCCCCCCCGCCCCUGGUCAUCUCAGCAGGUGCACCACCCCCGCCCCUGCCCAUCUCAGCAGGUGCACCCCCCCCCACCCCGGCCAUCUCAGCAGGUGCACACACACACACACACACCCCCCCCCCCCGCCCCGGCCACCUCAGCAGGUGCACCCCCACCCCGGCCAUCUCAGCAGGUGCACCCCCCCCCCCCCCGCCCCUGGUCAUCUCAGCAGGUGCACCACCCCCGCCCCUGCCCAUCUCAGCAGGAGCACCCCCGCCCCCCCCCCCCCCCGCCAUCUCAGCAGGUGCUCCCCCCACCCCCGCCCCGGCCAUCUCAGCAGGUGCACCCCCCCCCCCCCGCCCGGCCAUCUCAGCAGGUGCACCCUCACCCCCCCCACCCCCGGCCAUCUCAGCAGGUGCACACACACACACACACACACCCCCCCCCCGCCCCGGCCACCUCAGCAGGUGCACCCCCACCCCGGCCACCUCAGCAGGUGCACCCCCACCCCGGCCAUCUCAGCAGGUGCACACACACACCCCCCCCCCCCCGCCCCGGCCACCUCAGCAGGUGCACCCCCACCCCGGCCAUCUCAGCAGGUGCACCCCCCCCCCGCCCCUGGUCAUCUCAGCAGGUGCACCACCCCCGCCCCUGCCCAUCUCAGCAGGAGCACCCCCGCCCCCCCCCCCCCGCCAUCUCAGCAGGUGCUCCCCCCACCCCGCCCCGGCCAUCUCAGCAGGUGCACCCCCCCCCCCCCGCCCCGGCCAUCUCAGCAGGUGCACCCUCACCCCCCCCCCACCCCCGGCCACCUCAGCAGGUGCACCCCCACCCCGGCCACCUCAGCAGGUGCACCCCCACCCCGGCCAUCUCAGCAGGUGCACACACACCCCCCCCCCCGCCCGGCCACCUCAUCAGGUGCACCCCCACCCCGGCCAUCUCAGCAGGGGCACACACACCCCCACCCUGGGGCCGCUCGGACCGCCCCCGGUGCCGCGCUCUCGGGCUGUCCCCAGCUCGCUCAAGCAGCCACACGCGUGGUGGUCGCCACGAGACGCCCAGAGGUGUGGGCGCCGUGGGGAGGGGACCGCCCAGCCCCCGCCGGCCCUCGCCAUCGCCGGGCGCGCUUCUGGGGAAGCGACAAAAGCCGCCGCGGCCGAGCGCGGCGCGGGGCCCGGGGCUCUGUGCUCCCGCAGAGUCGCCCACAUCCGCCGCCCCGAGGUCCCCGCUCCCGGCCCCGGGUCGCGCCCCCCUGCGAGUCCGUCCCCGGCAAACCCGCCGCCCGCGGGGGAGCCCGUGUCCACGCGCUCGCGCUGCCCUCCCCGCGCCCCUCGCCGCCCCCUCCCCGCAGCACCUGCACCCCCCGCCCGGGCCGCCUCACCCCUGCUCUCCAGGUGGGCGCCGUGAAGCGGGGCGCGGAGGGGCAGCGGCGCCUGACCGGCCGCCCCCCGUGCGGAGCCACCGGGCGGGCCCCGGGAGGACGGAGCCGGGACGCGCUGGGCCCCCGCGCGGCUCCACCCCCGCGGCCGAGCGCUGGGGGCGCGGGCCGGGCCAGCCGGGGUCCCGCCCCGGUUCCUCCCCCAAGCCGCGCCCUGCCCUCUGGGGGGCCCACCGCGCCCUCCGCGGCGCAGACCCGAGCAACGCGGACCUGGGGCCCGGCCCCCCCGCACCUGCUGCUCGCCGAGCCCCGCCGGGAGCCCCCCUCCCGGGACCUGGCGGCAGCACCCACCCCCCCACCCCCACCCCAGGUCGGCGCGUCCUGCUGAAGCCGGGGUUUGCGGUUCCAUCACACCUGGGCGGGGGGGGGGGGGGGGGAAAGCAUCCAGGUGUGAUGGAUCCAGGUGGACGCUGCGGAGAAGCCGCCAAGCCAAACCCAAAGCGCUCACAAUUCGAAACCCGAGCCCUAAGGAAGGGUCAGGAGGCUGCGUGCCCCGCGGCCGUCCCUUCCAGGCGCCCCAGCAGCGCCCCGAUCUCUCCCGGGGCGGGGGUCUCAGAGUUACCCGCCCUGGUAACAGAGGCCGGCCAGCCUGUCUGCUGGCUGCAAGCAACCUGCCCUCGCUUCCUUGGUGGCUUCUAG
RNAcentral lists this long non-coding RNA (2172 nucleotides) under Canis lupus familiaris (dog). Its description in RNAcentral is "lncRNA (ENSCAFG00040014879.1)". Lineage: Eukaryota; Metazoa; Chordata; Mammalia; Carnivora; Canidae. The record is from RNAcentral.